UCUCCGUAGGUGAACCAGCGGAAGGAUCAUUAUUGUAAAACCGAGGUGCGAGGGAUCUCGCUGAUACGACACGUCUUCUACGCCCGAGUGCCCUCACACACAUCCAUCUCACCCCUAUGUGCGCCGCACCGUGGGUCCCCCUGAGGCUUGUUCGGAGGGGGGCUGACGUUUUCACACAAGCUCAGUAUGCAGUGUAGUAUGUGGUUUUUGUUUUUGCGAUCACGCAAUCGAUACAACUUUCAACAACGGAUCUCUUGGCUCUC
This 263-nucleotide unclassified non-coding RNA is filed under the name plant metagenome. Its description in RNAcentral is "partial contains small subunit ribosomal RNA, internal transcribed spacer 1, and 5.8S ribosomal RNA". The record is from RNAcentral.